This is a long non-coding RNA of Homo sapiens (human), 1167 nucleotides long. NCBI's taxonomy places the organism in Eukaryota, Metazoa, Chordata, Mammalia, Primates, Hominidae. The record is from Ensembl.
GCGCGCGGCCUUUCACGCCGGGAUCCGGGUCCCGGUGCUUCUCGGUUCAUUCCCAGCUGGGUCCGGGCCCGGCCAGACUGGGUGGAAAUCUGGCUGACCUUGGUGGUCUGUCUUGGCCAGCUGGAGCAAAGGGAUGCCAGGGGACGGGUCUCGGUGCAGUGACUGCCAUUAGCUUGGGGCCGCAGAAAGUUUCUCCCCUUUCUCGGGCUCCUGCCAGGCCCUUGGCUUUCAGAGCCAGGCCCGAUUUCUAGAUAACAUUUAAGUUUGCAGAAAAGGGGAUGCCAAGUCACGGUGGUCACGGCUGUGGGAUGCAGCCUCUGAGAUUUGUAUUAAUUUUUGUGAGCCGGGGAAAGGCCUUGCUGCUUUCUCCGCCAGGACUGAUGUGUCUUCCCAAGAUGAAAGUGCCUGAAGAGAAGACAGAACAGAAAUUUGUAUCCUGCUACAAUUACAGUGUUAUCAAACUAUAGUCCUAUAUGGAUGAGGACUGAAGGAGGAAUGCUGAGACUGUUGAGGGUUUUAAAAUUUUUAUUUCCUUUCCUGUUAUGUUCCAAAAAGAUACACAUCAAGAAUGGGAGGAACGAACUUUUAAUUUAUUUUCUCAGUUUCCGGAUGCUCUAUCUUCUUUUUCAAAUUAUAAAAAUUCUCUUUUUUAAAUACAAGCUGACUGGGUUGUCCCUGAAACACAUUAGCUCAAGCUUCUGACCUUUGGAAAGCAAAUCAGAGACUAUGUUGCGAAAGAAUUGUAAUCAGCCUCGGUGACUGUGAGAGUUAUUUAGGACACAGCCUCUUGCUCAGUUACAGCUCCAGCCUAGGGCCAGCAGGGCACUGGGACAUGCUGGCAGCCACUGCAUACUGGGCACCGGAAGGAGGAUCUGCAGCAAGCUGGGACGUGGAAGGAAGCCACAGGACUUCCUCUGCAAGCUCUGCCAAGCCAAACGAGUAUUAUCUGCCCUCGAGUUUGUUUUUGCCAUGGCUAAACACGGACUGCAAGUUGAACGUAAUCCAAGCAGAUCAUUUCCCUGCAAUUUUAAAAAGCAACGUAAAUCCUAGACUUGACAUGGUUCAAAUCAGCUGGAGCAGGGCAUCUCAGGGAGUAAGAGAGACUUGGGCUACUUCUAAUUUUGUUUAUUGAUAUGAAGAAAUAGUAAAUACAACUUAAAAAUUUUG